This 269-nucleotide ribosomal RNA is filed under the name uncultured archaeon. Its description in RNAcentral is "partial 16S ribosomal RNA". It matches the Rfam family "Archaeal small subunit ribosomal RNA", at positions 477 to 747 of the family's 1478-position model. The record is from RNAcentral.
CAGCACCUCAAGUGGUCAGGAUGAUUAUUGGGCCUAAAGCAUCCGUAGCCGGCGCUGUAAGUUUUCGGUUAAAUCUGUACGCUCAACGUACAGGCUGCCGGGAAUACUGCAGCGCUAGGGAGUGGGAGAGGUAGACGGUACUCGGUAGGAAGGGGCAAAAUCCUUUGAUCUAUUGAUGACCACCUGUGCGAAGGCGGUCUACCAGAACACGUCCGACGGUGAGGGAUGAAAGCUGGGGGAGCAAACCGGAUUAGAUACCCGAGUAGUCC